This 460-nucleotide ribosomal RNA is filed under the name Streptococcus constellatus. RNAcentral's name for it is "bacterial SSU rRNA". It matches the Rfam family "Bacterial small subunit ribosomal RNA", at positions 28 to 470 of the family's 1533-position model. The record is from RNAcentral. Lineage: Bacteria; Bacillati; Bacillota; Bacilli; Lactobacillales; Streptococcaceae.
GACGAACGCUGGCGGCGUGCCUAAUACAUGCAAGUAGAACGCACAGGAUGCACCGUAGUUUACUACACCGUAUUCUGUGAGUUGCGAACGGGUGAGUAACGCGUAGGUAACCUGCCUGGUAGCGGGGGAUAACUAUUGGAAACGAUAGCUAAUACCGCAUAAGAACAUUUACUGCAUGGUAGAUGUUUAAAAGGUGCAAAAGCAUCACUACCAGAUGGACCUGCGUUGUAUUAGCUAGUUGGUGAGGUAACGGCUCACCAAGGCAACGAUACAUAGCCGACCUGAGAGGGUGAUCGGCCACACUGGGACUGAGACACGGCCCAGACUCCUACGGGAGGCAGCAGUAGGGAAUCUUCGGCAAUGGGGGGAACCCUGACCGAGCAACGCCGCGUGAGUGAAGAAGGUUUUCGGAUCGUAAAGCUCUGUUGUUAAGGAAGAACGUGUGUGAGAGUGGAAAGUU